Molecule: ribosomal RNA, 253 nt
Filed under: uncultured bacterium
Lineage: Bacteria
Description: partial 16S ribosomal RNA
Rfam family: Bacterial small subunit ribosomal RNA
Source: RNAcentral
UACGUAGGGUGCAAGCGUUGUCCGGAAUUAUUGGGCGUAAAGAGCUCGUAGGUGGCCUGUCGCGUCGGCUGUGAAAACUCGGGGCUCAACUCCGAGCUUGCAGUCGAUACGGGCAGGCUAGAGUUCGGCAGGGGAGACUGGAAUUCCUGGUGUAGCGGUGAAAUGCGCAGAUAUCAGGAGGAACACCGGUGGCGAAGGCGGGUCUCUGGGCCGAUACUGACACUGAGGAGCGAAAGCGUGGGGAGCGAGCAGG